UGGAUGUGGACAGGGAUGAGGAGUAUGAUACGAGCAUGUAUCACUUUGGUGAGCAUGUGCCGCCAUCUAGAGAGAGCAAGAGCCUGAGUGAAGCUCACAGACACAACAGCCAGUUGCAGAAGUGGUGCAAGAAAUAGGAUAAGAAACAGGAGCCUGAGCCGAGUCAGCGCAGGCCUGAGCCCAGUGAGCAGGGAGUCUCACAUGUCCCUGCGAGGCAUUCA
Molecule: non-coding RNA, 221 nt
Organism: Arabidopsis thaliana x Arabidopsis arenosa
Lineage: Eukaryota; Viridiplantae; Streptophyta; Magnoliopsida; Brassicales; Brassicaceae
Source: the annotation of a GenBank genome assembly